Alnus glutinosa is the source of this 420-nucleotide long non-coding RNA. RefSeq lists it as uncharacterized. The transcript is spliced from 3 exons. NCBI's taxonomy places the organism in Eukaryota, Viridiplantae, Streptophyta, Magnoliopsida, Fagales, Betulaceae. The record is from RefSeq and is a predicted model, not a curated record.
CGUGGUGGAAGAUAAAUUCAUCAAAGUUUCCGGUUCUAGUUGAUGUUGCACGAGAUGUCUUGGCAAUUCCGAUCACCACUGUUGCUUCCGAGUCCACAUUUAGCACUGGGGGUCGCGUCAUAGAUCCUUUUCGGAGUUCUUUUGCUCCGAAAACAGUGGAGGCUCUUAUAUGUACUCAGAAUUGGUUGAGAUCUUCUUGUGUCAGUGAGAAUGAUGAGUUACAUCUUCCUUCUUUUGAAGAUGAAGAUAGCUAUAAGCUUGACUCGGAAAUUAUGUCUGACUCCAUUACAUUUGACAAUGAGGCUUGAAGGAUGAUGUACUUUGUCACGUUGAAAGAUCAAGGAAGCAAAUUGAAAGUCAUCACAUGUUUGUUGGAGGAAGUUUUUAUUUCUCUUCUCUUUUGGAGUUUUUGUUGGAGAC